This 956-nucleotide small RNA is filed under the name Cryptococcus neoformans H99. RNAcentral describes it as "Cryptococcus neoformans var. grubii H99 hypothetical RNA". The record is from RNAcentral. Lineage: Eukaryota; Fungi; Basidiomycota; Tremellomycetes; Tremellales; Cryptococcaceae.
CGCCUCAGUCAUUUUCUCUUUUCGUGUCACGCCACUCCCAAGCGCUAGGGACAUGGAUGUUCCGAACCCUUCGUCCCCUGUCCAUCAUUUCAAGGCCGUCCUUUAUGAACGAAUGAGUCUCACUUGAUUUCUCGAACGACAAAACACUGAAUACAGCGUCUCUCUUUAUCAGAUGAUAUUACUCAAUGCAUUAUUCAGACGAUUUCCGAUAGAGUUUCCUGCCCUGGUGUCCAUUACAAGCGGAAAGAGGGCAUAAAAUGGACGUGGCAAGACGCCUCCUCUUCUUACAAUGUUGAAAAUCUCAGAGCGUAGGUGGGAUUUUUUUGCUUUUGAUACGACCGACCUACCUUCAAUGUCGGUACUAUCACUCUUUUCUUGAAUGGUGAAGAAUGUAGGGAGAAAACAGGCACCUAGCUGUACAACUGUAGGGCGGCCGUGUGGGAUACCCCUUGCAUAUACAUCUGGUCGUUUCCCUUCAACCGACGCAGUACCGCAGCUAAUAGCGGCUGAGGAAAGCGAUUCCAUUAUUUCAUCGCCUGCCAAUCUCCAUCACGGUUCUGCGUCUCAGAUCUCUGUCAAAUGUAUUGCCUCUACAUCAUCACUUGCUUCCUUCUCACCGCUGUCCCCGACAUCCUUACCUUUCAUGAAUCAUUUCUUCGUCUCGUGCCUUUGGGAGCCCCCUAAAUUAUCAAUCCGAUCAUUAUGAUGAUCAAAUCAGAGAAAUACGAUGUGGGAAAUGCUUAUUGCAGGGCCUUGCGUAUAUGGCAGGCGCUUAUGAUACCUGCGGCAAUGUCCUUUCCUACUUGUGAUAUGGAAGUAGGUUCGUUCAUGGGAUUGAUCUGGACGAAGAUAAUAUUCUUUUCGAAAGCAAAGAUUAAAGAGGCAAACCCUUUUUCCUUGAUAGUACUUACAAGCUUAUCAAGUAUUUUGGAGAUGAAACACUACUUCACUCGUUG